CCUACGGGAGGCAGCAGUGAGGAAUAUUGGUCAAUGGGCUUACGCCUGAACCAGCCAAGUCGCGUGAGGGAAGACUGCCCUAUGGGUUGUAAACCUCUUUUGUCAGGGAGCAAUUGGCGCUACGUGUAGCGUUAUCGAGAGUACCUGAAGAAAAAGCAUCGGCUAACUCCGUGCCAGCAGCAGCGGUAAUACGGAGGAUGCGAGCGUUAUCCGGAUUUAUUGGGUUAAAAGGGUGCGUAGGCGGAAUGCCAAGUCAGCGGUAAAAUCGCGGGGCUCAACCUCGCUCCGCCGUUGAAACUGGCGGUCUUGAGUGGGCGAGAAGUAUGCGGAAUGCGUGGUGUAGCGGUGAAAUGCAUAGAUAUCACGCAGAACUCCGAUUGCGAAGGCAGCAUACCGGCGCCCAACUGACGCUGAAGCACGAAAGCGUGGGUAUCGAACAGGAUUAGAUACCCUUGUAGUC
This 460-nucleotide ribosomal RNA is filed under the name uncultured bacterium. RNAcentral describes it as "partial 16S ribosomal RNA". It matches the Rfam family "Bacterial small subunit ribosomal RNA", at positions 338 to 795 of the family's 1533-position model. The record is from RNAcentral.